RNAcentral lists this ribosomal RNA (435 nucleotides) under uncultured bacterium. Its description in RNAcentral is "partial 16S ribosomal RNA". It matches the Rfam family "Bacterial small subunit ribosomal RNA", at positions 28 to 507 of the family's 1533-position model. The record is from RNAcentral.
GAUGAACGCUGGCGGUAUGCUUAACACAUGCAAGUCGAACGGACUCUUCGGAGUUAGUGGCGGACGGGUGAGUAACGCGUGAGAAUCUGGCUUUGGGUUCGGGACAACCACUGGAAACGGUGGCUAAUACCGGAUGUGCCGAGAGGUAAAAGAGAAAUUGCCUGAAGAUGAGCUCGCGUCUGAUUAGCUAGUUGGUGAGGUAAAGGCUCACCAAGGCAGCGAUCAGUAGCUGGUCUGAGAGGAUGACCAGCCACACUGGGACUGAGACACGGCCCAGACUCCUACGGGAGGCAGCAGGGGGGAAUUUUCCGCAAUGGGCGAAAGGCUGGAGGGGCAAUACCGCGGGAGGGAAGAAGGCUCUUGGGUUGUAAACCUCUUUUCUUAGGGAAGAACAAAAUGACGGUACCUAAGGAAUCAGCAUCGGCUAACUCCGUG